This 502-nucleotide ribosomal RNA is filed under the name uncultured bacterium. RNAcentral's name for it is "partial 16S ribosomal RNA". It matches the Rfam family "Bacterial small subunit ribosomal RNA", at positions 30 to 507 of the family's 1533-position model. The record is from RNAcentral.
AGCGAACGCUGGCGGCGUGCCUAACACAUGCAAGUCGAACGUGAAAGGGAGCAAUCCCAAGUAAAGUGGCGUACGGGUGAGUAACACGUAGGUAAUCUACCCCAGAAUCUGGAAUAACCGGCCGGAAGGCUGGCUAAUACUGGAUAGAGCGUCGGAAUCCGUAAUUGGGUUUUUCGGGAAAGGGAGCCUGUAAAAAGGCCUUCGUUCUGGGAUGAGCCUGCGUCCCUUCAGCUAGUUGGUGAGGUAAAAGCUUACCAAGGCAAUGACGGGUAGCUGGUCGGAGGGGUGGGACGGUGAAACGGGAACUUAAGAACGGGCCAGACCCCUACGGGAGGCAGCAGUGGGGAGUCGGGCGCAAUGGACGAAAGGCGGACGCAGCAACGACGCGUGAGGGAAGGAGGCCUUCGGGUUGUAAAGCGCUGUCGAGUGGGAAGAAAAUGCUUGGAGUUCACAGCUCCAGGAACUGACGGUACCACUAAAGGAAGCACCGGCUAACUCCGUG